Molecule: transfer RNA, 73 nt
Filed under: Salmo salar (Atlantic salmon)
Lineage: Eukaryota; Metazoa; Chordata; Actinopteri; Salmoniformes; Salmonidae
Rfam family: tRNA
About the family: Transfer RNA (tRNA) molecules are approximately 80 nucleotides in length. Their secondary structure includes four short double-helical elements and three loops (D, anti-codon, and T loops).
Source: Rfam by way of RNAcentral
UCCCGUGUGGCUCAGGUGGUAGAGCAUGGCGCUUGCAACGGCAGGGUUGUGGGUUCGAUACCCAUAGGCGGAA